UACGUAGGGUGCGAGCGUUAAUCGGAAUUACUGGGCGUAAAGCGUGCGCAGGCGGUUCGUUAAGUCUGAUGUGAAAGCCCCGGGCUCAACCUGGGAAUGGCAUUGGAUACUGGCGGGCUGGAGUGUGGCAGAGGGGGGUGGAAUUCCGCGUGUAGCAGUGAAAUGCGUAGAGAUCCGGAGGAACACCAGAGGCGAAGGCGGCACCCUGGACGACACCAGACGCUGAGACGCGACAGCACGGGGAGCGAAC
RNAcentral lists this ribosomal RNA (250 nucleotides) under uncultured bacterium. RNAcentral describes it as "partial 16S ribosomal RNA". It matches the Rfam family "Bacterial small subunit ribosomal RNA", at positions 524 to 773 of the family's 1533-position model. The record is from RNAcentral.